GGAAAGGUGCCGGAGCGGUUGAACGGGGCGGUCUCGAAAACCGUUGUCCCGAAUAUUCGGGACCGAGGGUUCGAAUCCCUCCCUUUCCG
RNAcentral lists this transfer RNA (89 nucleotides) under Ignavibacterium sp. RNAcentral describes it as "tRNA-Ser". It matches the Rfam family "tRNA". Rfam says of the family: Transfer RNA (tRNA) molecules are approximately 80 nucleotides in length. Their secondary structure includes four short double-helical elements and three loops (D, anti-codon, and T loops). Lineage: Bacteria; Pseudomonadati; Ignavibacteriota; Ignavibacteria; Ignavibacteriales; Ignavibacteriaceae. The record is from RNAcentral.